AUUGAACGCUGGCGGAAUGCUUUACACAUGCAAGUCGAACGGCAGCACGGACUUCGGUCUGGUGGCGAGUGGCGAACGGGUGAGUAAUGUAUCGGGACGUGCCCAGUCGUGGGGGAUAACAUAGUGAAAAUUACGCUAAUACCGCAUACGAUCUAUGGAUGAAAGCGGGGGAUCGCAAGACCUCGCGCGCUUGGAGCGGCCGAUAUCAGAUUAGGUAGUUGGUGGGGUAAAGGCCCACCAAGCCAACGAUCUGUAGCUGGUCUGAGAGGACGACCAGCCACACUGGAACUGGGACAGGGUCCAGACUCCUACGGGAGGCAGCAGUGGGGAAUUUUGGACAAUGGGCGAAAGUCUGAUCCAGCCAUUCCGCGUGCAGGAUGAAGGCCCUCGGGUUGUAAACUGCUUUUGUACGGAACGAAAAGGUCUCUCUUAAUACGGGGGGCUCAUGACGGUACCGUAAGAAUAAGCACCGGCUAACUACGUGCCAGCCGCCGCGGUAA
Molecule: ribosomal RNA, 500 nt
Filed under: uncultured bacterium
Lineage: Bacteria
Description: partial 16S ribosomal RNA
Rfam family: Bacterial small subunit ribosomal RNA
Source: RNAcentral